Molecule: long non-coding RNA, 1605 nt
Organism: Microcebus murinus (gray mouse lemur)
Lineage: Eukaryota; Metazoa; Chordata; Mammalia; Primates; Cheirogaleidae
Source: RefSeq, a predicted model, not a curated record
GUGACCGCCUGACCGGGAGCGUGUCCAUCGGGACCAUGCUCGGAGUCUGGGGGACCCUUCCUCUUUAUUAUACCUGUAUUCAGCCCAGGCUGUCUUGUUUGAGUCAUUCGUCAGGAUAAUCAGCACACGUCGUAGCAAGGAGAGGAGCGUACCUGGAUCCCAAGCCGUCGUUCCUGCCGUGGUAGUCGCAGGUGCAUUGCGAAGGACACGAACAGCCCCCUCCUCCCAAACAGCUCAGCAGGAUGCACAGACAGGCGAAGAGACGCAUCACUCCUUUUAGAGGUUGUCUGAACAAAAGGUUCUUCCAGAAGGCAGUGGGUUUUGAGAUACACCCAUUGGGAAAAUACUUGUCACGGGCAUUGCUUGGUGAGUCUGACAUUUGAACAUGGCAAACAUUGCCCUCCGAAACCUACAAUAGAAAAGAGAAGAUCUGGCAUUAUCCUAUAAUAAAUGGGAAGUUUUAAAGCAUUUUUGAAGGCGGCUAUGGUGCUGCUACUGCCAAUUGACAUCUCCAAAUAAAUUUCUGCCUCCAACUUUAACAUCUCCCGUUGAGAACCUUUAUACACGUAGAGGGUAUGUGGUGCAGUUAAGGACCUGUUUUGCACCUUGAUUAUAAACAUUGAAGACAUUUAAUAAAAGCCAAUAAUGAUGUGUGUUUGAAAUAACAUUUCUAAUGUCAAGUGCAAUGAGUUAUUUAUUUGAACUAACAAUGUAUGUUUCAUGCAUCUGUUUUUCCAAGCAAAGGCCAGUUGAAAUUAAGGAGGCUUGAGAAUGACUGACCUUUCCCAAAAGUCUACCAGCAGACUCUGAAUUUAAAAUCUGUUCUUUACUCUGAUGUGGUCUUUCUGGUCUUAAAAUUUGUAUGGUCCUUCACAUACCUGUCGCUAAAGCUGCUCUCCCAAACGUGCAAGUUUAUACAAAUUUAAUAGAAGCAACAUUGUCACUCCAGGAUCAAAUUACCUCACCUCUACUGAGAUUUUCUGGCCAACUAUUUAAGCACAGUAGAUUGAGUCAUUCAAUUUUUCCAGCAGUAAUAGGAAAUGAAAUAAUCUAAAUUUCAUUGAGGAGGCAAGAAAGGAACUCUUUGCUGAGAGUUCCACAAAAUGGAGGGGGAUGAAUUCUCUAAUAUCCUGAAUGACAACCCACUCCUAAAGCCCUUUAUGUUAGCAGUAGAUUCUUCUCUUGCAUUUGAACGAUAUGUCUUCAUUCUGGGAAAUAUACAACCACGCUACCCAUUAAGGGAGACCAGCAUUGCCUUGUCCGUUUUCUAGAAAUAGAAUCACUCUUUACUUUGGAAACCAUCAUCCCAUGUAUUUGGGGUGGGGUGCCCAUUUGAACCAAGUGACCAACGAUCUCCCAGGGUCUUUUCCAUCAGAGAACCAACUGAUAUGAAGCUGGCUUUGGGGAUGCUUAGCUGACAUCUGUCACAAAUCUGGAGCUCUCGGCACUUAGGGCCUAGAUGCUGCUCCAGUUGCAUGAGCCAGAUAUUCUUUGUACUGGAUUGAAGUGAGUUUCUUUUACUCACCUCCUGAAAAGUCUUGGAACGUUAUCCACUGCCUCGUAAGCAUUUUUGUAUCGAUUUUUUAAAUUCAAACGCAUUUUAGA